UAUUUAUUAGAUAAAAAACCAACGCCCUUCGGGGCUCCUUGGUGAAUCAUAAUAACUUAACGAAUCGCAUGGCCUUGCGCCGGCGAUGGUUCAUUCAAAUUUCUGCCCUAUCAACUUUCGAUGGUAGGAUAGUGGCCUACCAUGGUGGCAACGGGUAACGGGGAAUUAGGGUUCGAUUCCGGAGAGGGAGCCUGAGAAACGGCUACCACAUCCAAGGAAGGCAGCAGGCGCGCAAAUUACCCAAUCCCGAUACGGGGAGGUAGUGACAAUAGAUACUGAUACGGGGCUCCUUUGGGUCUCGUAAUUGGAAUGAGAACAAUUUAAAUCCCUUAACGAGGAACAAUUGGAGGGCAAGUCUGGUGCCAGCAGCCGCGGUAAUUCCAGCUCCAAUAGCGUAUAUUAAAGUUGUUGCAGUUAAAAAGCUCGUAGUUGAACCUUGGGUCUGGCUGGCCGGUCCGCCUCACCGCGAGUACUGGUCCGGCUGGACCUUUCCUUCUGGGGAACCUCAUGGCCUUCACUGGCUGUGGGGGGAACCAGGACUUUUACUGUGAAAAAAUUAGAGUGUUCAAAGCAGGC
This 576-nucleotide ribosomal RNA is filed under the name uncultured eukaryote. Its description in RNAcentral is "SSU rRNA". It matches the Rfam family "Eukaryotic small subunit ribosomal RNA", at positions 203 to 785 of the family's 1831-position model. The record is from RNAcentral.